AGAGUUGUUUGAGACUCCAGGCUGCACUCUGCCCAGUCUGAAUGCUCCUUCUAAAUGGUGAGGGCUGGAGGCUAGCUGGGGCUACUGUGACUAGAGCAAGGGAUGUGCUGUGUUUCUUCACGUAAGCAAGCAACUCUGUGUUUCUCAGGAAGCACAAUGAAAGCUCCUGGUUAUGCUGAAAACAAGGAACCAGUCUGGAUCUGCUAAGCCCAGUCUGGUCUUGCAGCCUGCAGGAAGGAAAAUAAGGGUUAAAGGCACAACAGGGAUUUACAAACAGCCAGCUAAACUCACAGAAACCUGAGAACUCCAGUAUUUCUCAUCUCACAUUCUGCAUCAGAAGAUGUCUUCUGAAAUGUCUGCUAAAAGUUUGUCUCUAAUAUUAGUAGCAAUGACAGUUGAAUAAGAAAAUGAAGAGGGCAGCUGCUUGAUGUUUGGGCCAAAGGACAAGAAGUAGUGGAAUGUGCUGCUUAUUUGUCUCCAUCUUGUCUUCCAUAGCUGAACAUAAAAAGAAGGCACGUGCUUAUUAUUGCUGGUGCCAAUUUGGGGUUCAAACUAAAAUACCUGUAAGACUAAGUAAAAACAUUUUUACUGUAAGGAUGAUCAAACACUCUAACAAGUUGCCCUGAGAGGCUCUGAAUUCUCCAUCUCAGGAAAUACUCUAAUCCCACCUGGACAUUGUCCUGGGCAGCCAGCUCUAGCCAAUCCUGCUUUCAGCCAGGGCGGCUGGACUAGAAGGAGUUCCUUUCCAACCUCAACCCUUCUGUGACUCCUUGAAGUAUCUUUGCUCGUAAAAUAUUAAGAAGUGCUGCAUGCUGUUGGUUUGA
Molecule: long non-coding RNA, 824 nt
Organism: Neopsephotus bourkii (Bourke's parrot)
Lineage: Eukaryota; Metazoa; Chordata; Aves; Psittaciformes; Psittacidae
Exons: 2
Source: RefSeq, a predicted model, not a curated record